This 488-nucleotide ribosomal RNA is filed under the name uncultured bacterium. RNAcentral's name for it is "bacterial SSU rRNA". It matches the Rfam family "Bacterial small subunit ribosomal RNA", at positions 355 to 859 of the family's 1533-position model. The record is from RNAcentral.
UGGGGAAUCUUGGACAAUGGGGGCAACCCUGAUCCAGCCAUGCCGCGUGAGUGAUGAAGGCCUUAGGGUCGUAAAGCUCUUUCGCCUGUGAAGAUAAUGACGGUAGCAGGUAAAGAAACCCCGGCUAACUCCGUGCCAGCAGCCGCGGUAAUACGGAGGGGGUUAGCGUUGUUCGGAAUUACUGGGCGUAAAGCGCACGUAGGCGGACCAGAAAGUUGGGGGUGAAAUCCCGGGGGCUCAACCCCGGAACUGCCUCCAAAACUAUUGGUCUAGAGUUCGAGAGAGGUGAGUGGAAUUCCAAGUGUAGAGGUGAAAUUCGUAGAUAUUUGGAGGAACACCAGUGGCGAAGGCGGCUCACUGGCUCGAUACUGACGCUGAGGUGCGAAAGUGUGGGGAGCAAACAGGAUUAGAUACCCUGGUAGUCCACACCGUAAAACGAUGAAUGCCAGUCGUCGGGUAGCAUGCUAUUCGGUGACACACCUAACGGA